UUUUGGGCGCAUUAGCUGUGCAGCACAUAAAAACUUCAUAGUUAAGCGUGCUCAGGUGGGAGUAGUCCUAGGAUGGGUGACCUCCUAGGAAGUCUCCACUAGGGCAACCU
RNAcentral lists this ribosomal RNA (110 nucleotides) under Helianthus annuus (common sunflower). Lineage: Eukaryota; Viridiplantae; Streptophyta; Magnoliopsida; Asterales; Asteraceae. The record is from RNAcentral.